GGGGAAUAUUGCACAAUGGGCGCAAGCCUGAUGCAGCCAUGCCGCGUGUAUGAAGAAGGCCUUCGGGUUGUAAAGACUUUCAGCCGGGAGGAAGGUGUUGUGGUUAAUAACCGCAGCAAUUGACGUUACCCGCAGAAGAAGCACCGGCUAACUCCGUGCUCGCAGCCGCGGUAAUACGGAGGGUGCAAGCGUUAAUCGGAAUUACUGGGCGUAAAGCGCACGCAGGCGGUCCAAGUCGGAUGUGAAAUCCCCGGGCUCAACCUGGAACUGCAUUCGAAACUGGCAGGCUUGAGUCUUGUAGAGGGGGGUAGAAUUCCAGGUGUAGCGGUGAAAUGCGUAGAGAUCUGGAGGAAUACCGGUGGCGAAGGCGGCCCCCUGGACAAAG
RNAcentral lists this ribosomal RNA (385 nucleotides) under uncultured bacterium. RNAcentral's name for it is "bacterial SSU rRNA". It matches the Rfam family "Bacterial small subunit ribosomal RNA", at positions 356 to 738 of the family's 1533-position model. The record is from RNAcentral.